Molecule: ribosomal RNA, 465 nt
Filed under: uncultured bacterium
Lineage: Bacteria
Description: partial 16S ribosomal RNA
Rfam family: Bacterial small subunit ribosomal RNA
Source: RNAcentral
ACGAACGCUGGCGGCGUGCUUAACACAUGCAAGUCGAACGGAAAGGCCUCUUUCGGGGGGUACUCGAGUGGCGAACGGGUGAGUAACACGUGAGUAACCUGCCCUUGACUUUGGGAUAACUUCAGGAAACUGGGGCUAAUACCGGAUAGGAGCUCCUGCUGCAUGGUGGGGGUUGGAAAGUUUCGGCGGUUGGGGAUGGACUCGCGGCUUAUCAGCUUGUUGGUGGGGUAGUGGCUUACCAAGGCUUUGACGGGUAGCCGGCCUGAGAGGGUGACCGGCCACAUUGGGACUGAGAUACGGCCCAGACUCCUACGGGAGGCAGCAGUGGGGAAUAUUGCACAAUGGGUGGAAGCCUGAUGCAGCAACGCCGUGUGCGGGAUGACGGCCUUCGGGUUGUAAACCGCUUUCGCUCAUGACGAAGCUUUGUGUGACGGUAGUGGGUAAAGAAGCACCGGCUAACUACGU